UAUGACGGUCCUAAGGUAGCGAAAUUCCUUGUCAGGUAAGUUCUGACCCGCACGAAAGGCGUAACGAUUUGGGCACUGUCUCAACGAGAGACUCGGUGAAAUUUUAGUACCUGUGAAGAUGCAGGUUACCCGCGACAGGACGGAAAGACCCCGUGGAGCUUUACUGUAGCCUGAUAUUGAAAUUCGGCACAGCUUGUACAGGAUAGGUAGGAGCCUUUGAAACGUGAGCGCUAGCUUACGUGGAGGCGUUGGUGGGAUACUA
Molecule: ribosomal RNA, 262 nt
Filed under: Asterionellopsis glacialis
Lineage: Eukaryota; Bacillariophyta; Plagiogrammaphyceae; Rhaphoneidales; Asterionellopsidaceae
Description: partial Bacterial large subunit ribosomal RNA
Rfam family: Bacterial large subunit ribosomal RNA
Source: RNAcentral